This 334-nucleotide unclassified non-coding RNA is filed under the name Hevea brasiliensis (rubber tree). The record is from RNAcentral. Lineage: Eukaryota; Viridiplantae; Streptophyta; Magnoliopsida; Malpighiales; Euphorbiaceae.
UUUUUUAAAAAAAAAGAGCCAAAUAGGACUUGGAUCAAAAGAAUGAAAAGAAAAAAAUGAUCCCUAUGUAGCCAAAACUGAGCAAACAAAUCAUGCUGGUGUUGCUGACUUGCCUUCUCCAAUAUGAGGAAGUCUUAAAUUGAACAUACCAGCAAGUCCCUUUCCCCUAGCUAGCUGUUCCAGCUCUUGAAUUUUGCUUCGAAGGCUCAUUAUCUCCUUUUCCAGUGCUUCAUCUCGUAGUCUCAAUUUCUCCGUUUCUUGCCUACGAAGUUCCUCCUUCUUAGCCUCUGCCCGAGAAUUCCUUUGCACCUCAAAUACAAUAAUAGCACCUGCG